RNAcentral lists this ribosomal RNA (433 nucleotides) under uncultured bacterium. RNAcentral describes it as "partial 16S ribosomal RNA". It matches the Rfam family "Bacterial small subunit ribosomal RNA", at positions 29 to 507 of the family's 1533-position model. The record is from RNAcentral.
AACGAACGCUGGCGGCAUGCCUAACACAUGCAAGUCGAACGAGACCUUCGGGUCUAGUGGCGCACGGGUGCGUAACGCGUGGGAACUUGCCCUUAGGUUCGGAAUAACUCCCCGAAAGGGGUGCUAAUACCGGAUAAUGUCUUCGGACCAAAGAUUUAUCGCCUUUGGAUGGGCCCGCGUUGGAUUAGCUAGUUGGUAGGGUAAAAGCCUACCAAGGCGACGAUCCAUAGCUGGUCUGAGGGGAUGAUCAGCCACACUGGGACUGAGACACGGCCCAGACUCCUACGGGAGGCAGCAGUGGGGAAUAUUGGACAAUGGGCGAAAGCCUGAUCCAGCAAUGCCGCGUGAGUGAUGAAGGCCUUAGGGUUGUAAAGCUCUUUUACCCGGGAUGAUAAUGACAGUACCGGGAGAAUAAGCUCCGGCUAACUCCGUG